CUACGAAGGGGGCUAGCGUUGUUCGGAAUUACUGGGCGUAAAGCGCGCGUAGGCGGAUUGGUCAGUUAGGGGUGAAAUCCCAGGGCUUAACCCUGGAACUGCCUCUAAUACUGCCAGUCUUGAGUUCGGGAGAGGUGAGUGGAAUUCCUAGUGUAGAGGUGAAAUUCGUAGAUAUUAGGAAGAACACCAGUGGCGAAGGCGGCUCACUGGCCCGAUACUGACGCUGAGGCGCGAAAGCGUGGGGAGCAAACAGGAUUAGAAACCCUUGUAGUCC
RNAcentral lists this ribosomal RNA (274 nucleotides) under uncultured bacterium. RNAcentral's name for it is "partial 16S ribosomal RNA". It matches the Rfam family "Bacterial small subunit ribosomal RNA", at positions 523 to 796 of the family's 1533-position model. The record is from RNAcentral.